RNAcentral lists this unclassified non-coding RNA (409 nucleotides) under soil metagenome. RNAcentral's name for it is "partial contains 5.8S ribosomal RNA, internal transcribed spacer 2, and large subunit ribosomal RNA". The stretch from base 1 to 121 matches the Rfam family "5.8S ribosomal RNA", at positions 35 to 154 of the family's 154-position model. The record is from RNAcentral.
GAUGAAGAACGCAGCGAAAUGCGAUAAGUAGUGUGAAUUGCAGAAGUACCGUGAAUCAUCGAAUCUUUGAACGCAAAUUGCACUCUCUGGUAUUCCGGGGAGUAUGCCUGUUUGAGGGUCGCUUAACAAACCAUCGAUUUCGUUGCUUUUUUUUUAAAAAGUGAUGUUUAUCGGAUUUGAGCCGUCUUUUUUUUUUAUAUUUAAGUGGCUUAAAAUUGAUUUUUUUGGUACGAUCGAAGCGUAUUUUUAUGAUCAAUUUUUGGUUAAAGAAACGCACACGUACCGUUAUUUAUAUGAUGUAAUACGUUUGACUAUUGGAUUUAGUUCAUUCGUAUACGAUAUUUUUCAAUAUUUGACCUCAAAUCAGGUAAGAACACCCGCUGAACUUAAGCAUAUCAUAAGCGGAGGA